UUCUUUCUAAUUUACUUUGGUGAGAUUAAAGGGCUUUGGGUGGGAGGGGUUGGCGUGGGGGGAGGAGGUGAUCUCCACAGCCCUGAUCGCUGGAAUAUUGUUGAAAAUCUACUUCUGCCAUGGAGAGAUUCCAAGCACUGAAAAUAAAGUGACUGGUGCUUCAAGAGAAAAAUGGGUGAUGCUAUUUUAGAGAUGCUGGAAGCAUAAAUGGUUUUGAACACUUACUUUUUUUUUUUCUUCUGUAAUCAAAGCUAGAUGUGUAUAUAUAUAUUUUUCCUAUCGUGAGAAAGCAAAGACCUUAGAGCACACUUCUUCAAAGUCUUAAGAAUGCUGUAAAAAUGUGUCCAAGUAGAUCUUUGCAAUAAAAUUUUAUCUUGAAAAUGAGAACCAAAACUGGCAUAUCAUGAGUUUGGAUCAUUUACCUUCUGAAUAUGACAAUCCUAUCAUGUAACAGUUGUGAAUGAAUUUCUGAUGAACUGAGGGGCACUUAUAGCUGGUCCCAGUAGAAAACAUCAGGAGAACAGGACUUAAAUUGUCAUAGUUGUUUCUUUCUGGGUAAGGUAUGUUAUGUGUAUUAUAGGCAAAUAGCAAUAGCUGAAGAUGGAUUUUGGAAGCGUUGCAGAUGAAACUUAAAAUACUUAGGCAUCUUGAUAGAAGGAGUCCCUCAUGGCAACUGCUUACCUUGCGCAUUUCUUUCCUCCACCAGCAGGGUCGAAACUUUCUUUUCCUGAGUCCACGACGCAGUGCUUACAAAGGAGCAGAGAAGUUGAAAGAGCUUAGUGGGCUAUAGAAGGAUUUCCAGUUUAGUCACUCGUUAGCAAGAAGUUGAAGGGCAUGCCAGUUCUAGGAGUGACAUCGAUAGAGAAGAAAUGUAACUGGUUGAGUGGAGGUAUCUAUAAUAAUUUCUGGUAUGAAAAUAUAUUUAGUUAUUCCCAGGUGUACCUUACUUGGAAUACAUUUCUUUGAUAGCACUCAACUGCACCCAACUUUGACUGCAGAGAAGUUAUUCUUUACCCUUUUUAAUUCCAAGUAACGAGUGUGAAAUGCACCAGUACAUGCUUACAUGACAGUAUUCCAACAUACCUUGAGACAUUUCAAUGUGAGCAUGCAGUGGAUGCAUACCUAACCUGCAUUUUAACAGGAUGUGGAAGUAACAUAAAUUUUGUGACAGGAAAGAAAAUGUAAUGUGGGAGAACAUUCAGCUGUCUUAACAACGAAUGCUCUCUCUUUCAGUUCCUUGCUGUGCUUACGUUUCUGCAGGAGUUGAAGCAGUGAAACCUGCACAAACUGAAAGACCUGUGUUUAAAAAUAGUUCAGUCAUUCUAGGAGUGCACCCUUUCUCAGUGGGGGUACAGAAUAAACUGCUGUACAAGCAUAAUGGAAGUCUUGCUUAGUGUGAAAUCUCAGCUUUCGAAAGCGAGAAGGUGCUCCUAGGCUUGGUGGCCAGCAGAGUGGUAGCAAGUAAGUAACAGUAACUGAGUUCUGUGCUGCCUUCUGUUGCUGUGUGCUUUUCAGCUUGAGAUCCUACAUGCUUGGAAUGCUAACAAGUUACGUGCUUAUAUUAAUCAUCUCUAUUCAAACAUCUUGUAUUUUUUAGGAAGCUCCCAGUUAUGACUGAAAAUAUGUAGUACAGGGCAAAAACAUACUUGAACUUUUUUAUAUAUUAAAAUGUGUAUCAUGCAGAUGCUGAGCUGGACCUAGCCCUGGAUACAGCUGUGUGUUGAGGCUGAGCUUUGUUCUUGAAUAUGGGUGUAGAAUAAUUCGCAUGGAUUCUCUGUUGGCAGCUGCUGAAUCUGUUGGUAGGUGACAAUGUCUGAAUUUAUGAAUCUUCUGUGCAAUAGAGACUGCAGUGUAGAAAUAUGUGAUAGGACCUCCAGGGGGAAGCAUAGGACAGGAAAGACCAGACUGGUUUCUAGCAGAGCCAGACUUUCUGAUACACAGAGCCUUUGCUUGUGAUAGCAAUAAAUCUUUUCUGUACCAAAUUGAGACUACAUAAUUUUCAUCUUGAAGAAUAACACUGUCAGGCUUUAAUACCAAAAGAUUGGAAAGGACUCAUUACUCAUGGAGAUAAGACUACCUGAUGAAAAACGAGAUGCAGUAUGUGAUUAAACACUUAGACCCUCCGCUAAUUAUAUUCCUGGUUCAGUUCAGUCAUUACAGCAAUUCAGUGCAGGUGUGUGCUGUCUGGAAGAAGAGGAGUAAUGGUAGAAUUGAAAGAAGCAAAAGUCCAGAGCUGUGUAAAAAAAAAAUAUAUAUAUAUAUAUAUAUUAUAAUAAUAAUUUUUUUUUUUGUAAAUUGCAUAAAUAAAACAUCUUAGAAAUGAUACUUGUCUGCACAGCAAUUGGAAAUCAAGCUCCAAAAAAACCCUUUUUUUAUUUCUUCAGUAUGUAAGUGCCUGGUCCCUUUUAUCUACUAAUAAUGUUUCAGCUUCUAUUCUCAUCUUGUCUCACAUUACCCCAGAAGAAUGUGCAUGGUGCCAUAUGAACUGAGCAAGAUGGUAAGUUAAUCGUCUUUAUACUUCAGAAGUUUGAUUGCAGGCUUUUUUGGAUACAUUUCAUUCCUGGUGUGGAUGUGGCAGGGUGCUGUACUGCGCCACAGCAUCAAGUGAAAGCAUCCUGCCAAUGUUCUGAAAUGCAUGAAGAAAUGAGAAAGAAUGCAUUUCCCCUGGGGGAAUCCCAGCCUGCAGGAAUGCUGUGAUACUGAAGAGCUCAGGCAGCUUUGCAGCGUGGAGCUGCUCUUCAGCUUCUGAAUGAUGCAUCUCAUCAACUGGGGUCCUAACAGGAGGGAAAGGGCUUCUGAGAGCACAGCCAUUGGACACAUCAUAGCUUCUUGUGCUCUGUACCACAUUCUUACCCUUAUUAAAAUAAUACCCAGUAUAAUCAAACUGUAUUUCUUCAGUUACAUCAAGGCUAAUUUUGGCCUGGUGCUUUCAGCAUUAGAGUAGCUCAGACAGACUUCUUGAUGGAAGUAUUUUUGAGUGCUUUUUACAAUCCUGCACACAGAUUUCAGUUGUAUCCUGAUGUAAGAAGUUUUAGCACCCCAGCACUGUGCUGUAGCAGAUCAUGUUGGCCUUGGGAUGGCUGAGGAUGGCUUUUCAAUGUCUGCAGACUACAUGGGGGAAAAAGAACACCAAAAAGAAACUGCCAAGUGGAGAAAUGAGGACACAGAUCAUAGGAAUCUCUCUUUUCUUUUCGAUAUUAUUGUUGUAUUUUUAAAUAUACUUUUCUGAGUGUUUUGUAGGUUUCCUGGCUCUGUCCCUAUCAAUCUCUCAUAUGAUUCAUCGUGCACUGCAGUCAGAAGGCUUGACUUGCAGUUCUCUUUUGCUUUAGAGCUAAUUCUCCAUGCCAACAUUCACAACAACAAAAUUGAAUAGGGAAGCGAAUAUUUCACUUUUUCUUGAGUUUCAAUUGAAGUGUUUAGGAAGUUGGACCUUGAUUAGCUUUUGGUAGAGCUGAAAUAGAGGGAUAGUUAUAUAACUGCCCAGCUGUUUGUGAGAAAGCACCUUCAUUUGGUGCCAUCUGAGUCAUGUCAGUGUCUUCUGAGAGGUGCCUGCUGCUUUGCAGGGCUCAUCUGGAGUAAUUGGGAGACUUCAUAAUACCAUAUGAUUUAAAAAAAAAAAUAAAGGGAGAGCAAAAUAAAAAUCAAUCAUCCUUUGCCUUAACAGAUUCCAGUUUCUGCUUUUUGGUUGUUCUGUUUUCAUUUUUGUUUUUUGCAUGAUCUGUGUUGAGAGAAGAAGAAAACAAAAGAAUAGCCCUGGUGUUUUGUUUAUCCCUGAUGUAGGGAAGAACUGAAUAAUACUGCAUCUUCUGGAUAGAGAAGGGCAGGCAUUUGGAUGCUGAAGGUUGAUAAGAUACAGUGCAACUUCUGUCUCUUGGCCUUUAGUGCCCUUUGCAGUGCUGGAAGUUUUGUUUUUGUUGCAUGUUUCUCAUUUUGGUGUUUUGAUGGUAUUCCAGAUGGAAGUAUUAGGGAGGGGAAGACGAACAUCUAGACUGGAGAAGAAAGUUAGUUAAUUUAUCAGACCCUAAUACCUAGGAAGGAGGAGAUGGGGUUCCUUCCAUAAUGAUGUUCCUGUGGUGGGAUGUAAUGAAGGGAAGCGAGCAGGAAUCCCUGAGUGGAGCUGCUGAGGUCCUCUUAAGCCAAGCUGGUUUGUCAUGCUCCAGGUCAGAUAAAUCUGUAUUGUCAGGUUGUGCACAGAAAGGUCUUAAGCUGUUUCCAGAGUAGAUAUGGCCCUGAAAGCAAUGGGUUCGUACACAUCUUGUGCUGGAUUCCUGAGGCCUGGCUCUGAGCUGGCUCAGCACAGGGCUGAUGCGUGGCUGACUUUAGCCCUGCUCAGAGGGCUGACUGCACGUGUUAAGGAGCACCUUGGAGAUCUGAUUCCCCUGAAGGAAUGCUCACGUGGAGUAAUGAAUGUGCUUUCUGGAAUUCUACAGUCACGAGGAUUCUGACAGCAGUGACGUGCUCUAGAAGCAUCAGUGUCUGCUGGUUCUCCUAUAGUUGUUAACUGCUUAUUUUCAGUUGUCAAAUCCUUUCAUUCUGUCUCUUCUGUAUACUGGCUCUCUUCUGAGUUCAGGUGGCUCCUGCUGCCACUCAGCACGUGCUGCAUCAGGUGGGAAAGGUGGGCCUGGCAUUCAGAUUUGCAGCAGUUCCUCUGCCUGCAGCUCCUGCUUCAUUCACAGAUGUGCAAAGCCUGGCACACGUGGGGCCUUUCCAGUUUCACUCAUGAGCUCAGUGAAAGGGUAUUUCCUGCUCUUAGCAAAAUCCUAACAAACCAAGAAAUCAGCAGUCAAAACUACAUAGCUUUGCUUGCAACUUUUCACCUCUUGAUAUUCUGUGGUCCUUUUCCAUUUGGGCUUUGACCCUUUCUUUUUGAAAUGGGCCUUCCAGCCUCCUCAUCGUGUUCACAAGAAGUGAAAGUGUGACAGUCCUUUCAUUCCUUGCAGUGGGCUCCUGGUCACGAAGCACCGUCUGGCACUGCUCACUUGGCCUUGAGGUGGGGCUGCCUGGGCUGUGAGGUGUUGCUGCACAUCUGGGGUGUGCAGUGGUUCCUGAUUCCUCUGCUCAGAUCUUCAUGCUUCUCAAGUGCAACCUUUAAUGCUUCUGGUGACAGCUUCAUCUUCCAGAACAGUGCAGGAGACAGCAGACAAGAUGACAUCGAAGCUUUUCCUGCGCAAGGGUAUUGCACACUUGACUGGUUCAUUGACAUGGUAUCAGUUUGGGUUUUUUUGUUUUUAAAUGCAAAUUACACUUCUUGUAACCCAAGAAUUCACUUAGUCUCGGAUUUCAGCUUGUUCUGAGCAAGCUUUGCAGCUUCAUGCCUGCAGGCUGAUGGUAGAAGUCCAUCAACCAUUGUUUCUUGCUGUUACUGUUGGUCAGUUCCACUUGAGAUGAGAGAUUUUCUUCUAAAUGUCUUAACCUCUGCUGAGCCAUGGCAGGAUGAUCAGCCUGGUUGUGUAUGGCUGUGUGAGCCUUCAUCUCCUUGGGGUUCAAGCUGUUGAGGUAGCUUCUGAAUCUCAACAUUCUUUGUUUUUUCCCAAAUUAGUUUGUGUUUCAUCUCUGCUGCUUUUACCAUUAGGUUUAGAAGAUGCUCUCAGGGCAGUGCAUUUCUGGCACGUAGCAUUGCCAAGGCUUGGGUAAGCAAUGAGGAACUUUGUAGCCUGGUUGUUUGUCAUUCCUCUGAAUACACUGCAUUCAUUCCCAUCUUUGCCUGUUCCUAGUAGGUUUAUCUUUUUUCUGUGCUUAAAAAAAAAAAAUCCCAAUGUACAACAGGAGAAACUUAAAAAGAAAGCUUUAUCACUGAAGAAUGGGGAUAUUUAUUUACUUACACUGGACCAAGUUGAAGACAUGAUAUUCAAGGACUAAAGUGCAAAAUAGCCUAAAUACCUUUGGCUGGAAUAUCCCAUUUCUUUUAGUAAGCUGGCGCAGUAACUUGGGUUACCUCUGCCUCCCUUGUUUCCAUAUUUAAUCCUGUAUUUUAAUUUGUAGGUAUUUGUGGAAAUGGACACUGUUUAUUUUGAAGAACUGCUCAAGAUCUUUCCAAAUAUAAUUCAGUAAUUUGGGAUAUUUGAUGGCUGUUGUGCUUCAUUUCAAUUACCUUUGGCUUUAUUCUCCCAGAGAGACGGCAGAAUAAUCUGACACUUAGCUCAAGUGGCAUUUUCCUUAAACUGCCUGUGUAUUUGACAGUUGAUUAGCUAUUGAUACAGUAUUAUUACUGGAAAUCUCCAUAAAACUCAUCACAUUAAUGAGGAGGACGGCCCAGUCUUUGCUGGGAUUUUUGUGUCUGUUUUGUACACGUUAUUUUUAAGGAGAGAUCACAUUUCUGCAUUCAUAUCUGCUGACCUCCCACUUCUUUUCCUUGGUGUAGGACUGGAGGGCCUGAACUCUGCUACAGCGGCUUUCUCUUCUUUAAAGUGUAAUGAUCUCAACUCUGGUCUGUUUUUAGAUGCUGAAGGACAGAGACUGUGAUGAGCACUAACAGCGAUGUGCAACGUGAACUGAUGGCAGGUAUUCAUAUCUAGUCCUCGUAGUCUGAGAUAAAUAUGGAAGCCAUAGGUGCAGAGUGACUUCUGUGGAUUCCUCUGUUCUGGACGAAUAUUUCAGUGUUGAUAGAAACCUUUGUUUCCAUAGCGUGUCCAAGAGCUGUUCUGCAGUGGAGAAGGUAAGUUCUACGUGUGGGCAGGUGGUGGACAACCAAACCCUUAAUCUGUUCUGAUUUUUUUUUUCUCUGACCCAGUCCAUAGAGUUUUAUUGGACAGAUGUUGGACUGAUCAGACAGCUGCUGAAACCAUGAAGAAUUGGGGCAUAUUUUUAUUACUGGGGAGGAAAAGAGAUAUCUAAGAUUUUUAGCCUUUCCACGAUGCUCUCAGACACGUUGUUGAAUUUUAAGGUGUUUCUGUAUGGAUCCAGAUUGCAAUAUGCUGUAAUUACAUUUGUUGUCUUUUGAAGCACAGACUCAGGUGCAGUUCAGUGUCAUUCUCUGUUCAUUUUCCUGAUUGAGGAUUACUGUCUCUGCAGUGCUUGUUGCUUGAAACUAUUCAUUUGCCAGUGUUUAUUUCUGUCUUACAAGUUCAGCUGGGUCCUCUUUGCUUUAUGGUGAGGGACUGCUGCUGGCUAUUAGCUGUGCUUUAAAGACAAACAUUCCUAUUUUUAUUCAAGUUCAGACUGUGUUUGCUCUGAAACCCAGUGGAAGUGCUAGCUGUAUCUCAGCUCCCUGAUUUGGGUUGAUAGGACUUGCCUGUGAAUCUUGUUCUGACAGAUCAUUACCUCCCUGGACUCCUUCCUUAGCUAACUUAUCAAAGAAUCCAGGUAUGCUUUGCCAGGUAAAACCAUGUGUAGACAGCAGGGAUUUGUUGUUCAUGGGAGGAGGGAGGGAGGAGGAAUUCGUAGCAUGGAAACAUGAAAUCUGAAUCAGUUUGAAUUUAAAAACAAAAAUCUAGGAGAUUCAGUAUCUUAAUGCUGUGGGUUGGAAGAAUGCUGGAGAAGCUCUUGAAUAUGAGAUUAUUUUUUUUAAAGUGUCAAUAAAAUUGUGUGCAAUCUGUGCUUUUGCAGUAAAUAGAAACUGUACCAUGGAUUAGCUCAUCUUCCAGAAGAACCCCAGCAUCUGCCUGCCAUGGCAAGUGAUCUGAGGAGCUCCAGGUGGGUGUGCUACAUGUGUAUCGAGUCUUCUCUCUAGAUGGUUUACUCUAUGAACUGCACAUGCAUUGUAUAAUUGUUUCCUACCUGGUCCUUUUGUAAUGUCUGUUUGUUUGUUUGUUUUUCAAAUAAACAUCUUUUGAAGUCAUUACUUUGUGGGUGUUUUCCAAGGGUCUGAGUGUUCUCUUGUGUUGCUAGUCCUAGCUGAUGUAUUUAUUCUCUUUGGAUCAAACAGGGAAAAGGAGCAGAGAAAGUCAUAAUUGCUUCAGUUGGGUGCAAUUUUAUAUUAAGCUGCCGUGGCAAAAUGCAAACCCUUUUUUCUAAAGACUUUCUGUUUCGAGUAUUUUUUUGGAGAGCCCGUAGCAGAGGGAACAUAAUUGUAAGCAAACCUGAAGAAACUUCUCACGACACAAAAUUUAUUCUGAAUUUACAUUUGGAAAGCAGUGAUCAAUUAGAGCUUAACAUCUUGUGACUUUACUCUCCUGUGAAAUACCGAAUCCUGUGGGAACCUUCAGCUGUAUGAAGUGGAGUAGCCCUGCACUUGCAGGAAUAAUAAAGGUUUGGCUUAAUCUUGGCUCAUUAGAUCCCCCCACCUGGGAGCAAUGAGAAGAGCAGAACACACCCAGUGGUCUUUAACACCUCGCUGUCUUUGAAGUCUUCCAUUGGAUUUCUUUUUUUCAGGCAUGAGGGGGUAAAGGUGCCCUGUGUGCUGCCAUGGGUGCUGAUCUAUGUGUGCAUGUAUGUAUUUACUGAGGAAUUCCUUUCUAGAAAAGUAUUCAGGCAUGUCGUGUUGUUCAGCCUGGCUUCGUUUUUCAUUUCAUAUCUGCAGUCAUUUCCAGAAUCACUCUGAUGCUCUUUUUUCCCCUAUGCUUAUUCCUUUUCACAUGCUAUGUGCCAGUCCUGCUGAGCAGCAAGUGCUUCCUAAUAAACAGCUACCACAGAUGCUGGCACAAGACUGUUUUGGAGACCUGACCAUGAAAGCAGAAUUACAGUUAAUCCUGUACCAAACUUGUUAAGCAAAUGAAAUGAAAUAAAAUCCAGAUGUUCUGAA
Molecule: long non-coding RNA, 8680 nt
Organism: Tympanuchus pallidicinctus (lesser prairie-chicken)
Lineage: Eukaryota; Metazoa; Chordata; Aves; Galliformes; Phasianidae
Exons: 2
Source: RefSeq, a predicted model, not a curated record